GAUGAACGCUGGCGGCGUGCCUAAUACAUGCAAGUCGAGCGAACGGACGAGAAGCUUGCUUCUCUGAUGUUAGCGGCGGACGGGUGAGUAACACGUGGAUAACCUACCUAUAUGACUUGGAUAACUUCGUGAAACCUUAUCUAAUACCGGAUAAUAUUUUGAACCGCAUGGUUCAAAAUUGAAAUACGGUCUUGCUGUCACUUAUAGAUUGAUCCGCGCUGCAUUAGCUAGUUGGUAAGGUAACGGCUUACCAAGGCAACGAUGCAUAGCCGACCUGAGAGGGUGAUCGGCCACACUGGAACUGAGACACGGACAAGACUCAUACGGGAGGCAGCAGUAGGGAAUAUUCUGCAAUGGGCGAAAGCAUGACGGAGCAACGCCGCGUGAGUGAUGAAGGUCUUGGGAUCGUAAAACUCUGUUAUUAGGGAAGAACAUAUGUGUAAGUAACUGUGCACAGAUUGACGGUAACUAAUCAGAAAGCCACGGCUAACUACGUG
This 497-nucleotide ribosomal RNA is filed under the name uncultured bacterium. RNAcentral describes it as "partial 16S ribosomal RNA". It matches the Rfam family "Bacterial small subunit ribosomal RNA", at positions 28 to 507 of the family's 1533-position model. The record is from RNAcentral.